UACGAAGGGGGCUAGCGUUGCUCGGAAUCACUGGGCGUAAAGGGUGCGUAGGCGGGUCUUUAAGUCCGGGGUGAAAUCCUGGAGCUCAACUCCAGAACUGCCUUUGAUACUGAAGAUCUUGAGUUCGGGAGAGGUGAGUGGAACUGCGAGUGUAGAGGUGAAAUUCGUAGAUAUUCGGAAGAACACCAGUGGCGAAGGCGGCUCACUGGUCCGGUACUGACGCUGAGGUGCGAAAGCGUGGGGAGCAAACAGG
RNAcentral lists this ribosomal RNA (253 nucleotides) under uncultured bacterium. RNAcentral's name for it is "partial 16S ribosomal RNA". It matches the Rfam family "Bacterial small subunit ribosomal RNA", at positions 524 to 776 of the family's 1533-position model. The record is from RNAcentral.